UAGGGAAUCUUCCGCAAUGGACGCAAGUCUGACGGAGCAACGCCGCGUGAGUGAAGAAGGAUUUCGGUUCGUAAAACUCUGUUGUUAGAUAAGAACAGCGCAUAGAGUAACUGUUAUGCUUGUGACGGUAUCUAACCAGAAAGCCACGGCUAACUACGUGCCAGCAGCCGCGGUAAUACGUAGGUGGCAAGCGUUGUCCGGAUUUAUUGGGCGUAAAGCGAGCGCAGGCGGUCAAUUAAGUCUGAUGUGAAAGCCCCCGGCUCAACCGGGGAGGGUCAUUGGAAACUGGUUGACUUGAGUGCAGAAGAGGAGAGUGGAAUUCCAUGUGUAGCGGUGAAAUGCGUAGAUAUAUGGAGGAACACCAGUAGCGAAGGCGACUCUCUGGUCUGUAACUGACGCUGAGGCUCGAAAGCGUGGGUAGCAAACAGG
RNAcentral lists this ribosomal RNA (429 nucleotides) under Bacteroidota bacterium. Its description in RNAcentral is "Bacteroidetes bacterium partial 16S ribosomal RNA". It matches the Rfam family "Bacterial small subunit ribosomal RNA", at positions 355 to 776 of the family's 1533-position model. The record is from RNAcentral. Lineage: Bacteria; Pseudomonadati; Bacteroidota.